Molecule: non-coding RNA, 51 nt
Organism: Sphingopyxis sp.
Lineage: Bacteria; Pseudomonadati; Pseudomonadota; Alphaproteobacteria; Sphingomonadales; Sphingopyxidaceae
Source: Rfam
GCGGGCCAACGCGGACGCCCGGUCAGGCGGCAAACGUCGCCCAAGUUCCGC